Molecule: non-coding RNA, 135 nt
Organism: Clostridiales bacterium
Lineage: Bacteria; Bacillati; Bacillota; Clostridia; Eubacteriales
Source: Rfam
AAUUUAUUUUCAUUGGAUGGAUAUCCAACCCCAUGGAAAAAAAUUGAAAGAUAGGAAAGAAGUCAAAAUCUUCACUGUCCCGCAACUGUAAGGCGAAAGCCAAGUCAGAUAGCUAUCCACAGUGUAUACUCCACC